This 447-nucleotide ribosomal RNA is filed under the name uncultured bacterium. RNAcentral describes it as "partial 16S ribosomal RNA". It matches the Rfam family "Bacterial small subunit ribosomal RNA", at positions 29 to 523 of the family's 1533-position model. The record is from RNAcentral.
AACGAACGCUGGCGGCAGGCCUAACACAUGCAAGUCGAACGCCCCGCAAGGGGAGUGGCGCACGGGUGAGUAACGCGUGGGAAUAUGCCCUUCGGUUCGGAAUAACACAGGGAAACUUGUGCUAAUACCGCAUACGAUCUACGGAUGAAAGAUUUAUCGCCGAGGGAGUAGCCAGCGUAGGAUUAGCUAGUUGGUGAGGUAAUGGCUCACCAAGGCGACGAUCCUUAGCUGGUCUGAGAGGAUGAUCAGCCACACUGGGACUGAGACACGGCCCAGACUCCUACGGGAGGCAGCAGUGGGGAAUGUUGGACAAUGGGCGAAAGCCUGAUCCAGCCAUGCCGCGUGAGUGAUGAAGGCCUUAGGGUUGUAAAGCUCUUUCGCCAGGGAAGAUAAUGACGGUACCUGGAAAAGAAGCCUCGGCUAACCCCGUGCCAGCAGCCGCCGCAG